GUGCCAGCAGCCGCGGUCCUCCUUCUUUGGCCCGCGUUACCCGGAAUUACUGGGCGUAAAGGGGGCGUAGGCGGUAAAAGAAGUCAUCUGUGAAAACCUAUUGCUCAACGAUAGGCUAGCGGAUGAAACUGAAUUACUUGAGGGCACCAGAGGUAGACGGAAUUACCCGAGUAGGGGUGAAAUCCGCAGAUACGGGUAGGAACGCCGGUGGAGAAGUCGGUCUACUGGGGUGCACCAGACGCUGAGGCCCGAAAGCUAGGGGAGCAAACCGGAUUAGAUACCCGGGUAGUCCUAGCCGUAAACGAUGCUCACUAGGUGUAGGGAGUGAUAAACUCUCUGUGCUGAAGCGAACGCGCUAAGUGAGCCGCCUGGGGAGUACGUCCGCAAGGAUGAAACUCAAAUAAAUUGGCGG
RNAcentral lists this ribosomal RNA (412 nucleotides) under uncultured bacterium. RNAcentral describes it as "bacterial SSU rRNA". It matches the Rfam family "Bacterial small subunit ribosomal RNA", at positions 505 to 916 of the family's 1533-position model. The record is from RNAcentral.